Equus caballus (horse) is the source of this 1755-nucleotide long non-coding RNA. The record is from Ensembl. Lineage: Eukaryota; Metazoa; Chordata; Mammalia; Perissodactyla; Equidae.
GUUCCACCAGAAGGGGGAGUGCCUCUAUUCUCUCUGUGCUUUUGCCCCGCAGGGGAGGAAAAAAUACUUCCUGCAUCCAGCUUCAUUGACUGGGGCCCUGCAAAUUAGACUGACAAGACAGAUGAACAAGAGACAAACACACAGAAGUUUACUGACACACGCACGCUCAGACACAGGGGAGCACUUGGUGAGGAGAGACUCAGAGGGGUGGCUGGAACUCGGGCUCAUAAAGCAUCUUAACAAAAGGACAAUAAAUUUGUAGAGAAGUGACAAGACAAAGGAAAAGGGCUUUGAGUUUCUACAGGUGGCAAAUUGUGGGAAGCAGUUGCUAAAUUGCCCAAGAAGAGAUGGGAAAACGAAACGGAAGCAGCUCGAGCCCAAGGUGAGCAGGCCUCUGGAGCGCCAGGAGACGCAUGGCUAUUUGAAGAGGAAAGCAUUUAUCUGACAACGCUUGGCUUAAACAGCAAUUAGUCAGGAAGGAAAGACAAAGCCAUUUAGAAGGGACAGUUGGCAGGCCCCAGGCCAGCGCCGGGGAAGAUCUUCAGAACCCGAUACUGCACUUUAACAGGAAGCCUUAAUUAGUUCCUGGGGGAAUCGGACAGAGAGGUUUCCUACGACCUUCUUAUUUGCUUUCCUAGGGGUUUUGUUUUAGUUCCUUUUGUUCUUUAGAGCAACAGUUCCUCAAGGCCCAUGUCAAAGGAGACAUCCCCUAGUGGCCUGGGUGCUGCCGUGGACAUCUGGGCCUGGGGCCCGCAGUGAUCUGGACAAGAGUCUCGGGGUGACUGCAGAGGAGGAGGCACAUUCAGAGGGGCCUCGUAGCCGCGCCCUCACUGCACCACCCUCCCCAUGGAAGCUGCGCGUUAGCCACUCCCUGCUGAUUGACCAGAAGAGCCCUGUCUUAGCAAGGCACUUUGGAUCAAUCUCUUUUGAAGAACCUAGAGCCCCACAAGCACCACCACUCAGUAAAGGGUCCACUUGGGUCAUCGCCUCUCCCUGGAAGUCAGCUGAGGCCUGAAGACCUGAGGUUGUCGGGAUGAUGAGACACCCAGCGUCUGCAUCCAGCAUCUAUGUGCUCCAGACACCCCACUGUGAGUGGAGGGAAAUGCAGGCUCAUCCCUCUGCCCUUCAGCUGGACCAGUGGUGCUCCCCCUGGCUGCACGUUAGAAUCACCUGGGUUCAGACUCAGGAUUCGGGAUUCCAUCCCCAGAGGUUCUGAUUUACUGGGUCUGGGGUAGACCCAGACCUGGGGCGUUUUAGAAGCUCUGCAGGUGACUCCAAUGCCCUCCCCUGCUGAGCAGCCCUAUCCAGGUUAAGCCUCACCGCCUCCCACACGGAAUUGGGCAGGGGAGGCGUCUAUGCACAGCCCACUCCAACAGCCAGAGAGGAACUCCACAAAGCUCCAUUCCUGUCCCUAGAAACCUGGUUCCCAAUCAGCCUACAAGGUCCCUGCUAUACGGGACUGCGAUGUUAAUGGAAGACCCGGUGCCCACCCCAAGGGCCUGGGACCACAGCAACAUGAGGACAGGCAAGACUGCCAAACCCUUCACACCUGCAGGGAGCUGGACACAUACCAGACUGUCUUAAUUGGGCCAGAUUUUUCUACCUUCAACCCUAUUGCCUCCCUUCCUCAGAGAUGGAGUCCUCUCCAUUGCAUGUUAUAUGUCAUUGUGCUUUACAUUACAAAGUAUUCAUUUUAUUAAUAAUAAUUAUCCUGACUAGUAUAAUAAUAAUAAUAAUAGUAAUAAUAAGUAUCCU